RNAcentral lists this ribosomal RNA (253 nucleotides) under uncultured bacterium. RNAcentral's name for it is "partial 16S ribosomal RNA". It matches the Rfam family "Bacterial small subunit ribosomal RNA", at positions 524 to 776 of the family's 1533-position model. The record is from RNAcentral.
UACAGAGGUCUCAAGCGUUGUUCGGAUUCAUUGGGCGUAAAGGGUGUGUAGGUGGCGCGCUAAGUCGGGUGUGAAAUUUCGGAGCUUAACUCCGAAACUGCAUUCGAUACUGGCGUGCUUGAGGACUGGAGAGGAGACUGGAAUUCAUGGUGUAGCAGUGAAAUGCGUAGAGAUCAUGAGGAACACCGGUGGCGAAGGCGGCAUCCUGGACCGACACUGACGCUGAGGAGCGAAAGCCAGGGGAGCAAACGGG